CGCCUCUUGUCCAACCAAAAUAAGAGGUCCCGCCUGCCCUGUGACUAAACGUUUAACGGCCGCGGUAUUUUGACCGUGCAAAGGUAGCGCAAUCACUUGUCUUUUAAAUAGAGACCUGUAUGAAUGGCACGACGAGGGCUUAACUGUCUCCUUAUCCGAGUCAAUGAAAUUGAUCUCCCCGUGCAGAAGCGGGUGUAACAACAUAAGACGAGAAGACCCUAUGGAGCUUUAAAUGGGUGGGUAACCUACGUUAAAAACCUUGGCUAAAAGAAUGAACUAAGUAAACCUUACCCACAUGUUUUUGGUUGGGGCGACCGCGGAGUAAAACCUAACCCCCGCGAAGAACGAAGAAUCCUUAAAACCACGAGCAUCAGCUCUAAUUAUCAAAACAUUUGACCUUUAGACCCGGCAAAGCCGAUCAACGAACCGAGUUACCCUAGGGAUAACAGCGCAAUCCUCUUUCAGAGUCCCUAUCGACAAGAGGGUUUACGACCUCGAUGUUGGAUCAGGACACCCCAAUGGUGCAGCCGCUAUUAAUGGUUCGUUU
RNAcentral lists this ribosomal RNA (547 nucleotides) under Solegnathus hardwickii (Hardwicke's pipefish). RNAcentral describes it as "partial 16S ribosomal RNA". It matches the Rfam family "Bacterial large subunit ribosomal RNA", at positions 1816 to 2578 of the family's 2925-position model. Lineage: Eukaryota; Metazoa; Chordata; Actinopteri; Syngnathiformes; Syngnathidae. The record is from RNAcentral.